UACGUAGGGGGCAAGCGUUGUCCGGAAUCAUUGGGCGUAAAGAGCGUGUAGGCGGCCCGGUAAGUCCGCCGUGAAAGUCCAGGGCUCAACCCUGGAAUGCCGGUGGAAACUGCCGGGCUGGAGUCCGGAAGAGGCGAGUGGAAUUCCUGGUGUAGCGGUGAAAUGCGCAGAUAUCAGGAGGAACACCUAUGGCGAAGGCAGCUCGCUGGGACGGUACUGACGCUGAGACGCGAAAGCGUGGGGAGCGAACAGG
RNAcentral lists this ribosomal RNA (253 nucleotides) under uncultured bacterium. RNAcentral describes it as "partial 16S ribosomal RNA". It matches the Rfam family "Bacterial small subunit ribosomal RNA", at positions 524 to 776 of the family's 1533-position model. The record is from RNAcentral.